This is a non-coding RNA of Pelobates cultripes (western spadefoot toad), 462 nucleotides long. Lineage: Eukaryota; Metazoa; Chordata; Amphibia; Anura; Pelobatidae. The record is from the annotation of a GenBank genome assembly.
AAAAAAACUAUGCAAACAUACUUCCUUACGCAACCCAUGCAGUUAAACCCAUAGAUAUGGGAUAAAGGUCAUUCAUUAGUUCCAUUAUGUAUUAAUAGUUCAAUAAUGUAAACCCAUGAACGAGACACCACUCACUGCAAUUCACAGCUACAACUCGUUAAUAAUUUGCAACAUAUACAUAUCUCUUCCUUAGCUGGAGAUUCAUGUUCUAUGUAUAAAGAUAAGUUACACAAGUCUUUAAGUGAUUUAUCACAGACAAUAUUCACAUAGAGCAUGCACUACAUUUUAUAUUUUGGAGUUAUUUCGUUAUGCUGGAAAUCAAUUCAACUGGAGUAUUAAUUAGAAUAUGUUAGCUGAUUUAAGUAUACAUUAUUAUAUAUUAAGCCUUACGUUUUUCAAGGAAUUCUAAAACCAGACACUGUUCUUCCUCAAAACAAACAUACUCCACUUUUUAAGGAAUUA